RNAcentral lists this microRNA (21 nucleotides) under Bombyx mori (domestic silkworm). Its description in RNAcentral is "bmo-miR-2772b". The record is from miRBase by way of RNAcentral. Lineage: Eukaryota; Metazoa; Arthropoda; Insecta; Lepidoptera; Bombycidae.
UGUUUGAGUUCUGGAUCUGGA